CACGGCCUGAGGCGUUUGAUGCAAGGCGACUCCAAACACCCAAAAGCCCCCCUAGGAAAUAAUUUCAGGCCGCCGCAGCCCCUCCAUCACAGGCCCGUGAGAACAAACAUAGAUUUUAACGUUAGAAACAAAGCAGCCACGGGGAAGCAGUGUCCCAGUAUGUACAAGGACGUCUACUACAAAGCCAACAGUUGGAAGCAACAUUGAGUAGCGACGAAUUCAUAAAUAAUUAAUUUACUUCAAACGAACGAAGGGAUUGUGCCAUAUCUAAGUACAGAUUAAGUACACGAAAUCUUGAUCAUAUCCGUUAUUAGGUACGGACGAGUUUUAGGGGCGUCAUCGCAGCUUUGGCGUUAUUUUUAUCAUUUGAUCCCUACCCGCCAUCCGCUGAAAUUGGUUUGUUUGCUCGCAAUUUUUUUUGUAACUAAACCCUCACAGUUGCGUUGACUCUUGAAUUUCAAUUAUUCUUAAACACAAGGUGUCCCAACGACAGAGUAAGUUUACGCUUAACUUGUAUUAUUUUUGCAAUUAGCCAGAGUGCGGUAGAAAAGUUGGAAUGAAAUAUCUGUUUGAUUUUUGAAUUCUUAAGUAAAUUUUAAUUUUUUUAUUUUAUAAAAUAUGAACUUAAACUGGAUUUUUAUUCGGCUUUAAAGAUGAUAAUUUACAUUUUCAUGCUGUUAAUUCGAACACUUUCUCCGUAGUCGUUCAACAGACAUUUUUUUAAAUUGCUAGAGAAGGAUUAAUCCUUCUCUAGCAGGAAUAAGUUAAUAUUUGGUUUGUAAAAUAUUAAAAAAUCCUACUUAUUUUAAGUGGCACACUCCGUAUAUUGGCGCUGUGUUUUAUUCAAGAUCAGAAAAUCUUAAUAUCAAAUACAUGGAACACCUUACAUUUUAUUUUAUUUUUGUUUUCUCAAGUAAAUUUAAAUUUUUUUGGUAUGCAAAAUAUGAACGAUAAUUUUAUAGUUUUCUACUUAUUCGGAUUUAGCUAUGAAUCUUUCCAUUUUCAUGGUGUUGAUAAAUCCAAAAUUCCUCUUUUGCCUUUAGACACCAAGUUUUGAAAUGUGGCUAUGAGGAAAGAGAUCAACAUAACAUGUUCACUAACUGGGCAGCUGAAGUUCAAUUAACUUGUCCUGGUCCGAAGCAAUUAAACGACGAACUAUUUAGAUUAUCGAAAAAUGUCAGUUAUUUGAAAUGAAUCGGAAUUUAAAUAAAAACAAAUCACAAACAUCACAGUAAUUAGUUUUUCAAAAUUUCUGGCAACUUUUUUCGUUUGCAAUCUGAUUCUUGCAUCAUUCGUAAUGGGAACAAGGUUGUUAAUUCUGCUCCAAAUUCCUCAGUUCGUUCUGUGCAAGUUGCUUCUUGCGUCCUGAUGUCCCACUUUUAAAUGAUUUUCAACUGAAGAAUUCCAGUUCAGCUUCCAUUUGUUCAUGGUCGGAGCAAAUUUGUUGCACCAGAUUUUAAUUUUUUGUAACUUUUCAUCUUCAUUUGAAACACGAUCAGUGGAACAAUCAAAUUAAUUUUAUGUUUUUUAGAGCGUAUGCGAUGUUUUCCUUACCCUUGUGACCUGGAAGCAAAGUACUUUUUCGAUAACAAAACUUGGGGAAAAGAUGUACAUUUAACGAAAUUGUUCUUCUUUUGGAAAUGUCCUACUUAUUUGGCCAUAGUUUCAUAAAACUCUGGAAUUAAUAAAGCGAGAACUAUUCAUGCAUUAUUUGAGGAACGGUAGCCAAUUUAGAAGCCUAUUUGCCCUGGUUAUUGUCAUUUUAAGAGAUUUAAAAAAAUCUUUACUAUUCCAAUAUCCGCCCACAGUGUGUUUGCAUGCGAUAAUUGAAUGAAUCCGCAAUAAAACAAGAGAAAAAUAAAAGUAUACAUUGUAUACAUUGCAUCAAGGUGUGUGAUAAACGAUAAGAGUUUUUCAAGACUUUUAUCAAGCUUUUGUUGCCGUUUAGCAGACUUUCACAGAGUUGGACCGAUUUUUCCCCCUUGUUGAUUUAUUUAUUCUUGUGCGGUGAUAAACGACUAGAGGAACUAGAGAUGCGAUCAAGCUAAACGGCAAAGGUGAGUUUUAAAUUAUCGAAUUUGCAGUCAGAAACUCAGAAGAAAAUAUGUGAUGUUUUUAAGAUGAUACUCGACGAUAAACGAUAAGGAUGAGGGUAUAACUGUUUAACAGAAAACGCUUGUUUGCCAGUUUUUGCAGAUCUAAACUUAGAUAUUUCCAAAUAAGCCUUUCUUCUUGUUCGUUGUUUUGGGUUUAAUUUUGUCGAAGUUCUCGAAGGCCUUUUGCGUUCUGCAAAAUUUACUGACGAAUCAUUUACAUGUGAGUAACGACAACGAUAAGAGCGAGGUAAAGAACCGAGAUAAAAGAUAAGUACCGAAUAAAAUGAAUUAAAUGAAAACACGCAAUUUUUAAGUGUUUUGAUGAGAUCUGCUAGGUGAAUGAAUAGAUUUCGUCAUUAUUUGUGUUGUAGCGGUGUCAUGUUUGGCAAGUGCAACAAACCAGAAAAUAGACGAUAUUAUUAAAGCAUUGGAACAUUUUUUAAAUGCAUCCACCUGAAGGCUAAGUGGAGCUUAAACAGUGCAACAUGUAGUUGUUUGUUUUGCUUUAUUAUUUGCAAUUUUUUUUCUGUUCACUUUCUCAUUUCAUUAUUUUCGUCCCAAUUUGCGUUGAUUUAUUGGUCAGUAGAAGACACUUGUUGCGUGUUGUGUCUCUGCGAUGAUUCCCCGAUUUGCGACAGAUAUUACAUUGCCAUUAAAAGUGAAUGUUGAGUGAAAAUCACACACAAAUUCGAGACAUAUCAAACGCUAAUUUUAAAUAAUAUUGAGGAUGUGCGAGAUGUGUGGAAAUCCAUAGUAAAUUAGUCGAGUUGCAGGGGUCGUAAGACGCGCCAAACAAUCACGACCAAUAAGCGACUGUUCAUUUGAUUGAAAGCCGUUAAUUGGCCCAGGCAAAUUACGACCAGACACAAUCACCUCGAAAAUCUAAAAUAAAUAAUUAUCGAAUAAAAAAAAUAGUGAACUGCUUUGUGUAGCUUUAGGAUAUUUCGUUCUUCAGUUGAGGCCUAAGAUUACAAGCGCUGCAAAAAGCACACCAAUUCUCUGGACGGAUUUUGCGGAGAAAUCUGUCUGCAGAAUUUCCGGUUUCCAACUCUCUGUUACAUAUUAGGGAUAAGUACUACUUUAUGACUUACUUUAGUGAACGCAUUGUACAUUUAGAACAAAUAUAUACUAUAAAUAAAUAUACAGAAUAAGGUCACAAUUUGGGUUGUUGGGUACCGAUUCUUCCGACUGUAAAGCGCUUGUAUACAACCCCAUGUCGGUAGGAUGGAUACCUCAAGUGCAGAACUACCAUUGUUGAUUAAUUGUUGUAAAAUAUUGAAUUUAAUUUGCAAAUGUACCGAGGUAAUAAAAAAGCCAUUUAAAUA
Molecule: long non-coding RNA, 3421 nt
Organism: Dendroctonus ponderosae (mountain pine beetle)
Lineage: Eukaryota; Metazoa; Arthropoda; Insecta; Coleoptera; Curculionidae
Exons: 2
Source: RefSeq, a predicted model, not a curated record